This 433-nucleotide ribosomal RNA is filed under the name uncultured bacterium. RNAcentral's name for it is "partial 16S ribosomal RNA". It matches the Rfam family "Bacterial small subunit ribosomal RNA", at positions 29 to 507 of the family's 1533-position model. The record is from RNAcentral.
AACGAACGAUGGCGGCAUGCCUAACACAUGCAAGUCGAACGAGACCUUCGGGUCUAGUGGCGCACGGGUGCGUAACGCGUGGGAACCUGCCCUUAGGUUCGGAAUAACUCCCCGAAAGGGGUGCUAAUACCGGAUAAUGUCUUCGGACCAAAGAUUUAUCGCCUUUGGAUGGGCCCGCGUUGGAUUAGCUAGUUGGUAGGGUAAAAGCCUACCAAGGCGACGAUCCAUAGCUGGUCUGAGAGGAUGAUCAGCCACACUGGGACUGAGACACGGCCCAGACUCCUACGGGAAGCAGCAGUGGGGAAUAUUGGACAAUGGGCGAAAGCCUGAUCCAGCAAUGCCGCGUGAGUGAUGAAGGCCUUAGGGUUGUAAAGCUCUUUUACCCGGGAUGAUAAUGACAGUACCGGGAGAAUAAGCUCCGGCUAACUCCGUG